GACGAACGCUAGCGGCGGGCUUAAUACAUGCAAGUUUAGGGGUUCAGCAAUGGACACCGGCGGACGGGUGCGUAACACGUAUGCAACCUGCCCUUUACUGGAGGAUACUCCGGAGAAAUUCGGCACAACACUCCAUAUACUCAUACUUUCGCAUGGGAGAAUGAGGAAAGGUUACGGUAAAGGAUGGGCAUGCGUCUGAUUAGCUAGUUGGCGAGGUAACGGCUCACCAAGGCGACGAUCAGUAGCUGGUCUGAGAGGAUGAUCAGCCACACUGGCACUGAGAUACGGGCCAGACUCCUACGGGAGGCAGCAGUAGGGAAUAUUGGUCAAUGGGCGAAAGCCUGAACCAGCCACGCCGCGUGCAGGAAGAAGGUCCUCUGGAUUGUAAACUGCUUUUGCCAAGGGAUAAAGAGAGGCUAUACGCCUAAAUGAAGGUACUGGUGAAUAAGCCACGGCUAACUACGUGCCAGCAGCCGCGGUAAU
This 483-nucleotide ribosomal RNA is filed under the name uncultured bacterium. RNAcentral describes it as "bacterial SSU rRNA". It matches the Rfam family "Bacterial small subunit ribosomal RNA", at positions 28 to 524 of the family's 1533-position model. The record is from RNAcentral.